CAUGUUUUCUCUCAUGACUUCUCCUCUGAGAGUGAGCUCCUCUCCCUCACCAUCACAGCCUCUCCUCUGCCAGCCUUCAUCAUCAGACACGUUGUAGUGCUGCUGAUCCUACUGACAGGCAUCACCACCUCCUACCUGUACUACAAGCCCACCAGGAGGCAGAAGAGAGUGAACAGGGUGAGCAGCAUGGAUCUUUAUGUCAAUGCCAUGGAGAUGGUCUCUCUGAGCUCCAGAGCUGAAGCUGGACCGGGAGAGGAGAGAGCAGCCCAGGGGACGGAGUAGGAGUAGAAUGAAGCUGACCCUACAUGCUGAUCUUAGGUCAGUUUUGUGUUUUAAAUGGAUGGUCAGCAGUGGACUGGUGUUUAAAAUGUGGUGACAAACCUGAAGUGGUU
RNAcentral lists this long non-coding RNA (392 nucleotides) under Salmo salar (Atlantic salmon). RNAcentral's name for it is "lncRNA (ENSSSAG00000114840.1)". The record is from RNAcentral. Lineage: Eukaryota; Metazoa; Chordata; Actinopteri; Salmoniformes; Salmonidae.